CAGAUCUUCCUCACUUCAAUGGUC
This 24-nucleotide non-coding RNA is filed under the name Arabidopsis thaliana (thale cress). The record is from RNAcentral. Lineage: Eukaryota; Viridiplantae; Streptophyta; Magnoliopsida; Brassicales; Brassicaceae.